UACGGGGGGAGCAAGCGUUGUUCGGAUUUACUGGGCGUAAAGGGCGCGUAGGCGGCCACCGCAAGUCAGUUGUGAAAUCUCCGGGCUUAACUCGGAAAGGUCAACUGAUACUGUGCGACUAGAGUGCGGAAGGGGCAACUGGAAUUCUUGGUGUAGCGGUGAAAUGCGUAGAUAUCAAGAGGAACACCUGCGGCGAAGGCGGGUUGCUGGGCCGACACUGACGCUGAGGCGCGAAAGCCAGGGGAGCGAACGGG
Molecule: ribosomal RNA, 254 nt
Filed under: uncultured bacterium
Lineage: Bacteria
Description: partial 16S ribosomal RNA
Rfam family: Bacterial small subunit ribosomal RNA
Source: RNAcentral